This 1178-nucleotide ribosomal RNA is filed under the name Streptomyces stelliscabiei. RNAcentral's name for it is "bacterial LSU rRNA". It matches the Rfam family "Bacterial large subunit ribosomal RNA", at positions 1763 to 2925 of the family's 2925-position model. Lineage: Bacteria; Bacillati; Actinomycetota; Actinomycetes; Kitasatosporales; Streptomycetaceae. The record is from RNAcentral.
UGAGCUGGGGGUGGCCGCAGAGACCAGCGAGAAGCGACUGUUUACUAAAAACACAGGUCCGUGCGAAGCCGUAAGGCGAUGUAUACGGACUGACGCCUGCCCGGUGCUGGAACGUUAAGGGGACCGGUUAGUCACAUUUCGGUGUGGCGAAGCUGAGAACUUAAGCGCCAGUAAACGGCGGUGGUAACUAUAACCAUCCUAAGGUAGCGAAAUUCCUUGUCGGGUAAGUUCCGACCUGCACGAAUGGCGUAACGACUUCUCGACUGUCUCAACCAUAGGCCCGGUGAAAUUGCACUACGAGUAAAGAUGCUCGUUUCGCGCAGCAGGACGGAAAGACCCCGGGACCUUUACUACAGUUUGAUAUUGGUGUUCGGUUCGGCUUGUGUAGGAUAGCUGGGAGACUGUGAAGCUCGGACGCCAGUUCGGGUGGAGUCGUCGUUGAAAUACCAGUCUGGUCGUGCUGGAUGUCUAACCUGGGUCCGUGAUCCGGAUCAGGGACAGUGUCUGAUGGGUAGUUUAACUGGGGCGGUUGCCUCCUAAAGAGUAACGGAGGCGCCCAAAGGUUCCCUCAGCCUGGUUGGCAAUCAGGUGGUGAGUGUAAGUGCACAAGGGAGCUUGACUGUGAGACCGACGGGUCGAGCAGGGACGAAAGUCGGGACUAGUGAUCCGGCGGUGGCUUGUGGAAGCGCCGUCGCUCAACGGAUAAAAGGUACCCCGGGGAUAACAGGCUGAUCUUCCCCAAGAGUCCAUAUCGACGGGAUGGUUUGGCACCUCGAUGUCGGCUCGUCGCAUCCUGGGGCUGGAGUCGGUCCCAAGGGUUGGGCUGUUCGCCCAUUAAAGCGGUACGCGAGCUGGGUUUAGAACGUCGUGAGACAGUUCGGUCCCUAUCCGCUGCGCGCGCAGGAAUAUUGAGAAGGGCUGUCCCUAGUACGAGAGGACCGGGACGGACGAACCUCUGGUGUGCCAGUUGUUCUGCCAAGGGCAUGGCUGGUUGGCUACGUUCGGGAGGGAUAACCGCUGAAAGCAUCUAAGCGGGAAGCCUGCUUCGAGAUGAGUAUUCCCACCCACUUGAUGGGGUAAGGCUCCCAGUAGACGACUGGGUUGAUAGGCCAGAUAUGGAAGCCUGGUAACGGGUGGAGUUGACUGGUACUAAUAGGCCGAGGGCUUGUCCUCAGUUG